AGGAUAGAGGCCUACCAUGGUGGUAACGGGUAACGGGGUGUUAGGGCACGACACCGGAGAGGGAGCCUGAGAAACGGCUACCACAUCCAAGGAUGGCAGCAGGCGCGCAAAUUACCCAAUCCCGACACGGGGAGGUAGUGACAAUAAAUAACAAUACGGGGUUCUUUCGGAUCUCGUAAUUGGAAUGAGUACAAUUUAAAUCUCUUAACGAGGAACAAUUGGAGGGCAAGUCUGGUGCCAGCAGCCGCGGUAAUUCCAGCUCCAAUAGCGUAUAUUAAAGUUGUUGCAGUUAAAAAGCUCGUAGUUGAAUUUCGGGGUUAGUAGGUUGGUCAUGCCUCUGGUAUGUACUGGUCUCACUGAUUCCUCCUUCCUGAUGAACCGUAAUGCCAUUAAUUUGGUGUUGCGGGGAAUUUGGACUGUUACUUUGAAAAAAUUAGAGUGUUUAAGGCAAGCUAACGCUUGAAUACAUUAGCAUGGAAUAAUGAAAUAGGACGUUCGAUCCUAUUUUGUUGGUUUCUAGGAUUGACGUAAUGAUUAAUAGGGAUAGUUGGGGGCAUUAGUAUUCAAUUGUCAGAGGUGAAAUUCUUGGAUUUAUUGAAGACUAACUACUGCGAAAGCAUUUGCCAAGGAUGUUUUCAUUAAUCAAGAACGAAAGUUAGGGGAUCGAAGACGAUCAGAUACCGUCGUAGUCUUAACCACAAACUAUGCCGACUAGGGAU
RNAcentral lists this ribosomal RNA (719 nucleotides) under uncultured fungus. RNAcentral's name for it is "SSU rRNA". It matches the Rfam family "Eukaryotic small subunit ribosomal RNA", at positions 330 to 1053 of the family's 1831-position model. Lineage: Eukaryota; Fungi. The record is from RNAcentral.